GCCCUUAUACAUGAGCAAAAUCUCAACUUUAUUAGAAGAGACGCAUUUAUUAGAUAAAAAGCCAAUGCAUGCUUUUACAGUAUGAAAAUUGGUGAUUUAUAAUAACUUAGCAAAUCGCAAAGUGACAGGCGAUAAAUCAUUCAAGUUUCUGACCUAUCAGCUUUCGACGGUAUGGUAUUGGCUUACCGUGGCAGUGACGGUUAACGGGGGAUUAGGGUUCGAUUCCGGAGAGGGAGCCUGAGAAACGGCUACCACAUCUAAGGAAGGCAGCAGGCGCGCAAAUUACCCAAUUCUAACAGUUUGAGAGAGGUAGUAACAAGAAAUAACAAUACAAGGCAGUUAAAAUGCUUUGUAAUUGGAAUGAUAGAAAUUUAAACCCUUUUAAAGUAUCAAUUGGAGGGCAAGUCUGGUACCAGCAGCCGCGGUAAUUCCAGCUCCAAUAGCGUAUAUUAAAAUUGUUGCAGUUAAAAAGCUCGUAGUUGAAGUUCUGCUAAAAGUAACCGGUCUGCUUUGAAUAAAAGUGGUAUCUUGGUAUGUAUUUAGCAAUGAUGUCCUUUGAAGUGUUUUUUACUUUAUUGUAAUAAAGCAUAUUCAGGACUUUUACUUUGAGAAAAUUAGAGUGUUUCUAGCAGGCCAACGCUUUGAAUACUGCAGCAUGGAAUAAUAAGA
This 669-nucleotide ribosomal RNA is filed under the name Hepatozoon canis. RNAcentral describes it as "SSU rRNA". It matches the Rfam family "Eukaryotic small subunit ribosomal RNA", at positions 161 to 822 of the family's 1831-position model. The record is from RNAcentral. Lineage: Eukaryota; Apicomplexa; Hepatozoidae.